Molecule: unclassified non-coding RNA, 237 nt
Filed under: Melitaea cinxia (Glanville fritillary)
Lineage: Eukaryota; Metazoa; Arthropoda; Insecta; Lepidoptera; Nymphalidae
Description: misc RNA ENSMCXG00005003022.1
Source: RNAcentral
GGUACUAAACUUGGGAUAUCUCCUUUCCAACAAAAAAAGAAUUAUCAAAAUCGGUACAUCCAGUAGAAAGUUAUGCGGUAUAAUACAACGUAGAUCGACGAAAAAAGCGUCAAGUAAAAACGCAUUAUUAGAUAUAACUCGAAAAGUUAUUGUUAGAUCUCAAAUAAAUUUAAAUGGGACCAAAUGACACACACCACCUUUCGAUUAAAAGAAAAUUUGUCGAAAUCGCUCCACCCA